UUUAUAGUGUUUCCCACUAUGUCUGACCAAACUGGGAGCUCUUCACCCAAUAAGUGUGAGAGGCGCUCAAAGGUCCCACUUUCUCGCAAAUGCGGAGAAAUCUAGAGGGCGGAGUUUGUGGGGAAGGACCCAGGAACAAGGAUACUUCCUACCAAGAUCGUUUUUCCGAGCUGAUGAUAGAAAAUGUAGCUUAACAUUUUUCGUGGGGAGGAUGCUCAUCUCAACAUAUUAUCCCAUCAUUCAUCCUUAGGUCUUUUGUGGCCCAAAACAGCCUCCACACAGGCACAGACUUCUGGGUCACUAGAUCACUGGAUUUGCGGUCUCUUGACGUGUGAAAGCUGCAAGGGUAGGAGGUUUAGGGGCCUCAGAGUCAAUCUGAUAAGUCUCUAAGAUAGAAAAGUAAACAGUCAUAUAGGCAAGUCAGCCUAUGUCUGAACACAGGGAAUGGACCUAAGCCUGGGCAUAUAAAUUUGGGAGUUGUGAGCCCUAUGUGGUUGUUCACACUUAUAGUCCCAGCAUUCAGGAGAAUGAUGCAGGAGAAUUGCCAUAAACACCAUGGCAGCCUGGGCUACAGAGUUCUCCCUCCCCAUCUAUUCCCUCUUUCUUUUUUGAGAUAUAUAAACUCUAUACUCUCGACUUCCAGCCAGCCACGGCGAUGCUUUCCUGAGAUUUCAGCACUUGAGAAGUGGAGAUAGGAGGAUCACGAGUUUGAAGUCAUACUCAGCCCUAUAGUAAGUAUGACCAGAACCUGGAAGCAACCUAGAUGCCCCUCAACUGAAGAAUGGAUUAAGAAAAUGUGGUACAUAUACACAAUGGAGUACUACUCAGCAGAGAAAAACAGUGACAUCAUGGAAUUUGCAGGCAAAUGGAUGGAACUAGAAAAUAUCAUCUUGAGUGAGGUAACCCAGACCCAGAAGGACAAACAUGUUCCAAGCAAAUCUUCCUCCCCAGGCUUGUCUUGACUUGAAAAGAACAAGAAAUGAAUGAUUCCAAGGGGAGAGUGACCUUUGAGGACAUCACUGUGAACUUCACCCCAGAGGAGUGGCAAGGGCUGAAGCCUGAGCAGAGAAACUUGUAUAAGGAUGUGAUGUUGGAGAACUACAGCAACCUGGCCUCUGUGGAAAAAGACCAGGAUAUUGAAAGGCAAGUUAGGAUGAACAUAAAUUUGGAGAAAAGUCUCAAGAGAGGAGUUGUAUCCAUACACAAGAAAACAUUCACUAAGCAAAAAGGUACCGCACAUAAAAAGAUGUUUCUCCCAAGCAACGAUGAUGUUUCUUCAAGAUUGAGGCUCUCACAAUAUGAUCUAAUUGGAAAGCAUUUGAAACAUUGUUUUGAUAGGAAUCCUUGCAUAAAAAAUAAUUCUAAUGAAUAUAGAAAAUCAGUUAGCUCUAAUUCAUGGAAAUCUAUGAAAAACCAUUUUGAAUGUAAUGCCUGUGGAAAGUUACUCGAUUCGAAGCCACGCCUUCAGAGGCAUCUGAGGAUCCAUAAUAGGGAGAAAUCCUUUAAAUGUAAUGAAUGUGGAAGAGCAUUCAAAAUGCUGUGGAACCUGAAUAAGCAUCAGAAAAUUCAUCCAGAGAGAAAAGUCUAUAAGUGUGACGAGUGUGGAAAAGCCUACAGGCAGAAGACCAAUCUCGUUCAACAUCAGAAAAUUCAUACCAAAGAGAAACCCUAUAAAUGCCAAGCUUGUGGGAAAGCCUUCUUGUGGGUGUCAUCUUACAGUAAUCACAAGAAAAUCCACAAGGAUGAGAAAGCCUAUGAGUGCAAUGUAUGUGGCAAGUCCUUCAAACAGAACUCAACUUUUAGUCAACAUAAAAACACCCACAAGGAACAAAAGCCUUACAGAUGUAAGGACUGUAAGAAAUCUUUCAUUUGCAAGUCUGCUCUUGUGAAACACCAGAGAACACACACUGGAGAGAAACCCUACAAAUGUGGGCUGUGUGAAAAAGCUUUUGCCCAGAAAGCAAAUGCCAUCGAUCAUGAGAAAAUCCAUGCUGGGGUGAGGUCUUAUGAGUGUCGUCUCUGUAACAGGGCUUUUGUCCAGAAGAAAAACCUCACUCAACAUAAAAAAAUCCACACUGGAGAAAAAUCAUAUGAAUGUAGUAGAUGUGGGAAAGCCUUCUCUCUGAAGUCAAACCUUGGAGUUCAUCAGAAAAUUCACAGUGGAGAAAAAGCCUAUGCAUGUAACGAAUGUGGGAAAUCUUUCAGCCGCAAAGAACACCUUGAUUUUCAUAAAAAGCUCCACACUGGGCAAAAACCUUAUAAAUGCUCUGAGUGUGGAAAAGCCUUUGCUGACAAGUCAUACCUUAGUGGUCACCAGAAAAGAAUUCACACUAGAUAGGGACUCUGAGCACUUCAAAUACAUGGAAAAUACAUUUAUGGGAUGGCAUGGGAUAGUCAUCCCAAAAAUUGACGCAAAACGGCCUACACUUUUCAGUCUAUCACAGAAAACACGGAGGACUUAAACUCACUGAGACCAUCCUUUGAGGACAGGUUUAGCUCAUUCCUUCAUAGAUAUUUGUUUUGUCUUUUUAAAAUGUAUAUGUUUCCAUAUAUGUUUGUCAUGCGUGUAAAGAUGCCUAGUGGAGCCAAAUGAUGACAUCAGGUCCCAUGGUGUUGCAGGUGGUUGUGAGCUGCCUCAAUGGGGUGCUAGGAACCAACUUUAUUCCUCUGGGAGAACAUAAUAUGUCCCUAAAUGCUGAUUCAUCUCUCCAGGCUCAUGUUUCACUUUAAUAUUUUAUUUAUACAUUUUAUGUGUUUGUGUGAGCAUUCUGUGUUGCCUGCAUGUAUGUCUGUGCCACACGUGUGCCUGGUGCACAUGGAGACCAGAACACAUUGGAUCUCCUGGGAUGAAAUUACAGAUGGUUGUAACUGCCAUGUAGAUAAUGGGAAUGGAACCCAAAUCCUUGGAAGAGCAGAUAAUGCUAUGAGCUCUUCUACCAUCUCCAGCCACACUGUUUUUUUGAGAUGAAAUCUUGUUAUAUUUCCCAGACUGGACUGGAACUUCUGGGCUCAGGUGAUUCUCUUGCCUCAGCCUCCUAAGUAGCGGGGACUUCAGAUACAUGACACAUGUCUGCCACUCAGCAAACAUUUAUAAAGUGCCUUUUGACUAACAUGACUGAAGAGAUACCAAUAAACUAAAUCUGUCCAAAACUUUCAUGGAAUUUUUGUUUUUUUAUCAUGGAAUUUAUUGUAGUAAAAAGUAACUCAUGGUAGCCUUUUCUUUGAUAGUUGACAAUGUAUUUUGUAUGGAAGGGGUUUUUGUUGUUGUUGUUGUUAAAUAAAUAAAGUUGGAAUUCGAAGUGACACAGCAAAUAAC
RNA transcript from Peromyscus eremicus (cactus mouse), 3316 nucleotides. It is a transcript of the gene named zinc finger imprinted 3, with no coding region annotated. The record is from RefSeq and is a predicted model, not a curated record. The transcript has 7 exons. Lineage: Eukaryota; Metazoa; Chordata; Mammalia; Rodentia; Cricetidae.